CCUACGGGAGGCAGCAGUGAGGAAUAUUGGUCAAUGGGCGCUAGCCUGAACCAGCCAAGUAGCGUGAAGGAUGACUGCCCUCUGGGUUGUAAACUUCUUUUAUAUGGGAAUAAAGUGCAGUAUGUAUACUGCUUUGCGUGUAUCUUAUGAAUAAGGAUCGGCUAACUCCGUGCCAGCAGCCGCGGUAAUACGGAGGAUCCGCGCGUUAUCUGGAUUUAUUGGGUUUAAAGGGAGCGUAGGCGGGUUGUUAAGUCAGUUGUGAAAGUUUGCGGCUCAACCGUAAAAUUGCAGUUGAUACUGGCAGCCUUGAGUACAGUAGAGGUAGGCGGAAUUCGUGGUGUAGCGGUGAAAUGCUUAGAUAUCACGAAGAACUCCGAUUGCGAAGGCAGCCUGCUGGACUGUAACUGACGCUGAUGCUCGAAAGUGUGGGUAUCAAACAGGAUUAGAUACCCUGGUAGUC
Molecule: ribosomal RNA, 460 nt
Filed under: uncultured bacterium
Lineage: Bacteria
Description: partial 16S ribosomal RNA
Rfam family: Bacterial small subunit ribosomal RNA
Source: RNAcentral